Molecule: long non-coding RNA, 974 nt
Organism: Gossypium arboreum
Lineage: Eukaryota; Viridiplantae; Streptophyta; Magnoliopsida; Malvales; Malvaceae
Exons: 4
Source: RefSeq, a predicted model, not a curated record
AUGCCUGUGUGUCUACUCGUGUGGACAAAAUAAGGCUAUUUUCCAAGCCUUUUUUCUCACCCAUUUUUCCAACAACCUACACCAAUGCUUGCAAACAUAUACCAAACAAUUCAAUCAUCAUAACCAAGCCAACUUUAACAUCUAGCAUGAUAUAUCAUCACAUGCAUUCAUGUUUAUAAUCUUACCUAAUCAUGGAAGCAACAUUGCUGCCUCGAUCCAAAUUUCAAAUGAUGAACCAUUAUUGAACAAUAAUCAAUUUGAUCAGUUUCAAAGCUCAUCCUCCGAGUCUGAUGAUGAGACAACAUUGAAGGAGAAAGGGUCAUGGCGUAGAUAGGAUGUUCGGACAUAUUUAGUUUCAAGCUUUACAGAGAAUGAGUAAAAACGAUUAAACAAAUGGAAAAGGAGUGAGUUGAGUAGAAAAUUGAUUGGACGAGACGAGGAAUUUAAAUUAAUGGGCGAGAAACUAGCAUCUUUACUCAUGGUGCCUCGUAGUGAUGAGACUCAGUUAGAGUACUAUAUUGAUGAUUCGGUAAUUACUUAUCAAAUAUAUUGUGAUUGAGCUAUAAAUUUUUUUUUAAUUCGUAUAUUGGUUCUAUACAGAUAAACCAAUUAUAUUAAUUAUUUACUUUAUAUGUAGGUUGUUAGUACUUUUUUCAUAUUGCUUAAGAAGAGAUCUGACAGGUUUUCAAAGACAUACAUCGAUCACUAUUCAUUUGAUGCUCAGAUAGUUACUUUCUUGAUAACAGGAUCCAAAUUAAAACAAGAAGUAUUAGAUUGGUUUAAAGUCGAGAAGCUAAGAGGUGUCCACAAAGUAAGCUCAAAAGCCUUUGCUACAUGUUUUAAAAUUUCAUUAUAGUUUGUAAUGUGAUUGGAAUUUUAAUUAUAUUCAUUAUUAUAGAAGUAAUAGAUGUAAUUUUUUACAUUACAGUAAGGAAAACCAAUCGUAAUCUAAAUCGUUGAUUUAUCGACAAUAA